RNAcentral lists this long non-coding RNA (1032 nucleotides) under Taeniopygia guttata (zebra finch). RNAcentral describes it as "lncRNA (ENSTGUG00000023667.1)". Lineage: Eukaryota; Metazoa; Chordata; Aves; Passeriformes; Estrildidae. The record is from RNAcentral.
AUUUUUGCUGUGGAAUGAAGUGCAGCUGUGUAGCUGAUGGGUGCAGCAGCUUGUGUCCAUCUGUUUUUGUAGCACAGGAUCACUGGCAGGACUACGUGAAGACAGGCUCAGGAAAGCAGAGCGGGGGGAAGAACCUGUUAGGCAGCUAGCAUUAGGAAGUGUGACUGUGCCAGCAUUGAUGGACACUGAAUUAUAACCAAACGCUGAUGAGAUGCUCCAGGAGGGCAGCAGAGGAGUGUGCAGGCAUCCUGAGGCCAGAGCUGUACUAUCCAGCCCAGAUGGGGAAAAGCAUGUCAAGGAAAUGAAGCCAAGACUCUCCAAGCCUCUUGCUCUGUCCUGAAGAAUCCAGUCAUAGGUUGAUCCAUGUCAUCCUGCAUCAAAUGUAAGAGGAAAGAGUGUUACCACAUAAACCACAGCAGGUACCCUCUCACAGCUUGUGUUUCCUGCAAUCCAGGCAGUUCUGUCCUGCACUCCAUAUCUACAUUGAAAUUCAUAAAGAGAAAAGCACUUUAAGAAGGACUUUAUAAAGAAAAAAUGGGAAACCACCCUCACUGGACAUGAAGAAGUUUUGUCAUUGCACCUACUGCUGCUAUAGUUCAGAUGUGCUCACAGAGAAUGUCAAGGGCAGUGAACAAAAUUCUCAACCAUUUCCCAGACAAGGAGAGAAACAUGUUUGCAUAACUUCCAUGAUGCUUCUAUUUCCAUAAAGUUAAUGCAAAAUUUUCAGAGAUAAACAUGACAGAACAUGCUAGCUUCUCUUUCCAAGGUACAGCAGGGACUGUCUUCUCUUCCUCAGAAGUGUCCUUCAGCCAGUGCUCUCUCUGGAAAGCACGCCAGGAUUUUUCUCCUAGGGGUUUCUCUGCCAGGGGUUUCUGUGCUCAGGACUGGGACAGCUGUGCUCUCUUCUCUGGUCUGUUCUGCCUCUGCACAUCACACCACCUCCCUGGCCACCCAUGGCUUUGUGCCAGCAGUGCUGGGCCCCCAGGACUGUGGCAGGACCCACCAGUUUAACUGUUCCUUGCAACCCUCUAA